RNAcentral lists this ribosomal RNA (253 nucleotides) under uncultured bacterium. Its description in RNAcentral is "partial 16S ribosomal RNA". It matches the Rfam family "Bacterial small subunit ribosomal RNA", at positions 524 to 776 of the family's 1533-position model. The record is from RNAcentral.
UACGUAGGGUGCAAGCGUUGUCCGGAAUUAUUGGGCGUAAAGAGCUCGUAGGCGGUCUGUCGCGUCUGCUGUGAAAACUCGGGGCUUAACCCCGGGCCUGCAGUGGGUACGGGCAGACUAGAGUGCGGUAGGGGAGACUGGAAUUCCUGGUGUAGCGGUGAAAUGCGCAGAUAUCAGGAGGAACACCGGUGGCGAAGGCGGGUCUCUGGGCCGUAACUGACGCUGAGACGCGAAAGCGUGGGGAGCAAACAGG